CCUGGCUCAGAACGAACGCUGGCGGCAUGCUUAACACAUGCAAGUCGAACGAGAUCUUCGGAUCUAGUGGCGCACGGGUGCGUAACGCGUGGGGAUCUACCAAAGGGUACGGAAUAACUCAGAGAAAUUUGUGCUAAUACCGUAUAAUGUCGCAAGACCAAAGAUUUAUCGCCCUUUGAUGAACCCGCGUAAGAUUAGCUUGUUGGUGAGGUAAAGGCUCACCAAGGCGACGAUCUUUAGCUGGUCUGAGAGGAUGAUCAGCCACACUGGGACUGAGACACGGCCCA
RNAcentral lists this ribosomal RNA (287 nucleotides) under alpha proteobacterium MBT6. RNAcentral describes it as "partial 16S ribosomal RNA". It matches the Rfam family "Bacterial small subunit ribosomal RNA", at positions 18 to 333 of the family's 1533-position model. Lineage: Bacteria; Pseudomonadati; Pseudomonadota; Alphaproteobacteria. The record is from RNAcentral.